RNAcentral lists this ribosomal RNA (459 nucleotides) under uncultured bacterium. Its description in RNAcentral is "partial 16S ribosomal RNA". It matches the Rfam family "Bacterial small subunit ribosomal RNA", at positions 29 to 523 of the family's 1533-position model. The record is from RNAcentral.
AACGAACGCUGGCGGCAGGCCUAACACAUGCAAGUCGAACGUGAAGCCACCUUCGGGUGGUGGAAAGUGGCAGACGGGUGAGUAACGCGUGGGAACGUGCCUUUCGGUUCGGGAUAACCCAGGGAAACUUGGGCUAAUACCGGAUACGCCCUCCGGGGGAAAGAUUCAUUGCCGAAAGAUCGGCCCGCGUCGGAUUAGCCAGUUGGUGGGGUAAAAGCCUACCAAGGCGACGAUCCGUAGCUGGUCUGAGAGGAUGACCAGCCACACUGGGACUGAGACACGGCCCAGACUCCUACGGGAGGCAGCAGUGGGGAAUAUUGGACAAUGGGCGCAAGCCUGAUCCAGCCAUGCCGCGUGGGUGAAGAAGGCCCUAGGGUUGUAAACCCCUUUCAGCGGGGAAGAUAAUGACGGUACCCGCAGAAGAAGCCCCGGCUAACUCCGUGCCAGCCGCCGCGGUAA